This 398-nucleotide long non-coding RNA is filed under the name Mytilus galloprovincialis (Mediterranean mussel). The record is from RNAcentral. Lineage: Eukaryota; Metazoa; Mollusca; Bivalvia; Mytilida; Mytilidae.
GUCAUUGUUUUGUUAUUUUCUUGCUAUAAAGAAUAGUGGAUACUCAGAUAACUUGGUUUUUUUUAUCUACAAAACUAUUCAAAAUAUUGUCAACUCUAAGAAAAAUAUAUUGACUAUAUUCGAUAUUCCAAAAAAAAAACAAGUGUUAUCGAAGCCUUUGUUCAUAGAUGUAAUACCCAUAAAUGAAGCUCAACCCUGACUUCAAAGGUUCUAUGUGCGGUGUAAUGGCUUUCACACUUAUCUGAUAAUGACAUGAACCCGUUGGUCAUUGAAAAGCAGAUUGACAAUCAAGACAAUAGAAAACUGACAAUUAAAAGCUACUUAGCAAUUAAACAUGCUAAAAUAAGAAAGAAACAAAAUCAAAAUAUAUAUUUUAUAUUGACUUGAUUAUAAAAAAU